Molecule: long non-coding RNA, 2381 nt
Organism: Chelonia mydas (Green sea turtle)
Lineage: Eukaryota; Metazoa; Chordata; Testudines; Cheloniidae
Exons: 3
Source: RefSeq, a predicted model, not a curated record
GCAGUUCUCUGCUGGGAGCCUAGGGAGGAAGGACUGUGUCCCUGAAGGGCCAAGAGAACUGCCAGCACCCUGGACAGAGCAGUGCAGCAAACAGGGACCGAGGGAGCCAGAGACAGCUCCGGGCUGGCUGCUGGGGGGUUUGCAGACUGAGGCCCUGAUACAAGGGUUAAAGAGGGUGCUGGAGCCACGCGGGAAGUGGCUAGACCGUGAACUGCAGUUUGCCACUGGCAGGAAGUGGCUGAACAGUGGAUUGCAGGUCCCCCGGUAGGGAGGUGCACAGUGUGUGGCAGGGCCGGAGGGCUGUGUGGCUGAAGAGGACGCCACGGUCUUUGGAGAGAUGUGGGUCCAAGAGCAGGAGUCACGGCAGCAAUGCACCACCUGAAGGGGGCGCACCCAACUACAGAGCUAAUUCAGGCUGAGGAGGUGCCAGAGCGAGUCGGUGCGCUUUAUUCUGGAGUUGCUGUGGAACAGUGCUGGGAGAACCUCGAAGAGCUCAGAAUUCAGCUUCAGCUUGGUGGAAAGUAUCCCAACGGUCAGCUCUCUGUCUGACCCUCCUGAGUCUGCGGAAUUGGAUUGGAAAAGCUCGGAGCCUGUUCCUGAGAGAUUCCCAGCACAUCAACUUCCACUGGCAGUUGGAAAUACCGGGUGAACGGCAUGAACGGCCUUACUUGCAGCAUUUUGGGACUUCCAGGCAUUGGGCAGGGUGUCCUAGUCAAGGCAAUGCUAUUAGGAAGGCCUGCACAUUCCAGAGAUGAACUGGCCCCGUGCAUUGGCUAGAUGCAAUGUUCCUCAUUAAUGAAAAGGAAAGCUGGGGACCACCUCCAAUCACCGAGAUCUUCCAGUUUGAAGAGCCCAGUGCUUCCACCAUGGUUUGGCAGAGUUAUUUCGGGCCAGGGAGUUGAAAAGUUUGUCUUCAUUCCCUUGUGAAAAAGUCAUCUACAGAGGCCCAGAUUGUGACUGGCCCUGCCUGGGUGCACAGAGGACUGGGGGUAGUGGAACAAAGGGCCUUCUCUCUUCUUCCUCUGCUGCACAGGGGCCAGCUAAAAUCUGAGCAAAAGCAGAGGCUGGUGCUAGCCUACUCAGAGGUGAUGGGGUGAUCUUGGGGCAUAUUCCCUCCCGCACAGCAGCCAGCAGAGCUCCAGCGAACGCGUGUUGCACCCUUCCAAAGGGCGUCGGAGCUGGAGCUACAGCGUGUGCUCCCCCCGUGCCCAGAAGGAAUCCUGGCUGACUCAUCCAGAAUUCCUCCAGCUGCUCCCACCGCUGCGCGGCCCCUCCGUGCCCCCACAACACAGGGCCGCGCCUUAAAGCCACAGCAAGCCCUAAUGUCUCAUACAGGUGAUUCCCUGGGGUGGAAUGGAAUGUUACUGCUGGCUGGGGAGUUCUUCCUGCCGGGUAGCUCACAUUACUACAAUCCUACCCCGGCCGUCCCCCUUUUCUUUUUAAGGGUGUGGUGUGUUUGUAAGUUUUUUGUGUUUAUCAAGAAGUCGAUUGUGUAAAUAAAAUUGAGGCGGUGUGUGCCAAAUAGUUGGGCUGUGAUUUCCUGGAGGGGAGCCAAGGCGGUGUGUGGGAGCAUGCCAGUGUUCAUACGUUCGCUUUGCUAAGAAAUGUGGCAGGCAUGAAGCCCACAGUCAAGAAGCUCCUCCAGCCUGACGAAUCUUUAACCCUUUCGGAGGCCCACUCUGGUGCACGUCUGUGGUAGCAGGACAGGCAGCCUGGGGCAGGCUGGAGGUAAUUUUGCACAUUCAUGGAGACAAGAGGUUUAGGCUUAAACUGUGUGAUCAAAAGCCCACCACAAUCAAUGGGGGUCUUUCCAUUGAUUUCCCUAGGCUUUGGAUCAGGCCCUAAAUCGAUACAAUGCAGGUUUCACGGCGGUAUUGCAAGCCUGGUGUUUUUCUGGCUAGGAUUCAUAGGCCCCAAAAGUGAACAUAGGAAGAGCCAAACAGGCGGAUGGGAUGGGAGGAAUAAAUGACAGGGGAGAGCUCAAAGGUACCUUUGUGUAAAUGAGAAUUAGGAACAGUCAUUUUAAUGACUUUAUUCCAUAUUUACAACUGUGUUACCAGAAUUUUGCCCUGUUUCUUUAUUACAUGAACUCUCUAGCGUUUCUUGCUAGAAAUUCUUAUGCAGAAAUCACUGAACAGUUUGAGAAUCUUUUCUACAAGAUGCAGACUGGAGCAUUCGAGUGAAAUCCUGUGGCCAUUAACAUGAAAGGGAGUUUUGUCAUUGACUUCAGCAGGGCUAGGAUUUCACUCCUGGUGUUUGUUUUGGUAUUUCCCCCCCCCAGAUCACAAACCUCCUUCCUCAGAACAUGUCAUGUCUCUGUUAAUUCUGUAGGCAAUUGCAUGGAAAACAUGUGUGAACUGAAUAAAUGCCCCCAAAUCCUG